UUACUUUUCCUGGUGCAUACCAAAGAAUAUUAUAAGAGAUUCAACAAGCUCAUACGAGCCCAUUGCUAAAAAUAUACAACCCAAAGUCAGGUUUUAUUAUCACUCUUUAAAGCUUAAAAGCAUCUGCGUAUUCUAUGAGAAGCUAUGACCAUGACAAGGCAGUUGGUUAUGGGUUGACUGCAGAAAGCAAGAUGUUGUCAGGUAUUAGCGAAAACUUCAUUUGCCUGCAGCAUACGUCAAAACUUCUCCUCAAUCCGCACAUCGAUACCUUCAAGGAUUCCUGGCGUUGGCAUGAACCUUUACAAUCAGGGCACGUAUCUCAAAAACAUUCAACAGGUGGGUUCUCCCUAAACAUGGAGGAAUAAGUAAAGCACGGUGGAGAGUUGGGUUCUCUCAAAAGAUUGAGGAACAAGUAAAGCCCAUACCCGAUGAGACCUCACGAUUUCAUAACUUGCACUGGAAAAUUUCCAUCCGGGAGAGCUUGGCUUCUAUCGAACCAUGGGGUUCAUCGGUUGGAAGAAAGACAUCGUUCUCGAACUGCAUAAGAACAACAUUCACCGGUUAUGCUUAGUCAUUGAAUAGCACAGAUCUGCAUGAUGAUGUCUCAACCUUGUGAGCCUUUUUAAGUUCAAGCACGAGGAGAAAGUUAGUGGACCACCGGUGUUUUCCAGAAAGGGCUUGUGCUAGGGACGAAAUGACUACACAAAGAUCCAUUCCCUUGAAAAAGAAAAAGAAAAAAGGAACACAGGUUCAUGAAUAUCAACGACCGCAUGCUGGCACUGACAUUGACCAUGAUUCUUUACCAUCAGGGGAAACAGAGCCAUGCCAAUCUUUGCAAUCUGGAAUACUUGAGCUCCGUAUAGGUGUCAAGAACUAAAAUGAGAACCCAAUUGGAAAAUUCUACAGAAUUUGAGAUUACCUUGACGCCCACCGUAGGUAAGUUAACAGGUAGGAAAUGGAUGUUUGGCAUGUUCAAGUGUAU
Molecule: long non-coding RNA, 982 nt
Filed under: Physcomitrium patens
Lineage: Eukaryota; Viridiplantae; Streptophyta; Bryopsida; Funariales; Funariaceae
Description: long non-coding RNA (PPAT_LNC008677)
Source: RNAcentral